CCACGAGGCGCUGUCUAC
This 18-nucleotide non-coding RNA is filed under the name Arabidopsis thaliana (thale cress). The record is from RNAcentral. Lineage: Eukaryota; Viridiplantae; Streptophyta; Magnoliopsida; Brassicales; Brassicaceae.